UUCCCAUCCCGAACACGGAAGUGAAACGCCUCAGCGCCUACGAUACUGCUCUGGCGACGGAGUGGGAAAAUAGGUCACCGCCGGGA
Molecule: ribosomal RNA, 86 nt
Filed under: Dehalococcoidia bacterium
Lineage: Bacteria; Bacillati; Chloroflexota; Dehalococcoidia
Source: RNAcentral